UGCUUAUAUUUUAUCCCUUGGGUCUAUAGGAGCCGCUUGUGAAAGUAUCUCACGAGGAGGAGGUACGUUUACUUGGUGCACUUGAACCUAUGUGGGAGAAGUUCCAAAGGCUUCAUUUGCCCGAUUCAUAUUCAGAUCUUCGUGAUGCUUUUGUGGGCUUUAUACUGGAAUGUAUGGA
Triticum urartu is the source of this 178-nucleotide non-coding RNA. The record is from RefSeq and is a predicted model, not a curated record. Lineage: Eukaryota; Viridiplantae; Streptophyta; Magnoliopsida; Poales; Poaceae.